UGAACGUUGGCGGCGUGGAUUAGGCAUGCAAGUCGUACGCAUAGCUUCGGCUAUGAGUGGCGCAAGGGUGAGUAAUGCGAAGGUAACCAACCCUGGUGUUGGGCAUAGCCGCGGGAAACUGCGGGUAAUUCCCAGCGACGUCACGAGAUGGCAUCAUCUUGUGACCAAAGGUGUGAUUCCGCUCUAGGACGGGCCUUCGUGGUAUUAGGUAGUUGGUGAGGUAACGGCUCACCAAGCCGACGAUGCCUACCGGGUGUGAGAGCAUGACCCGGCACACUGGAACUGAGACACUGUCCAGACACCUACGGGUGGCUGCAGUCGAGAAUCUUCGGCAAUGGGCGAAAGCCUGACCGAGCGACGCCGCGUGAGGGAUUGAAGGCCUGGUGUAACCUCUUCGUAGAGGAGGAAGGGGCCGUGAAGAACGGUCGUUUGACCUAUUCUAGGAAGAAGCGUUGGGCUAAGUUCGUGCCAGCAGCCGCGGUAAGACGAACCAAGCGAACGUUAUUCGGAAUUAC
RNAcentral lists this ribosomal RNA (515 nucleotides) under uncultured bacterium. RNAcentral's name for it is "bacterial SSU rRNA". It matches the Rfam family "Bacterial small subunit ribosomal RNA", at positions 30 to 554 of the family's 1533-position model. The record is from RNAcentral.